UUCAGCCUCUCUGCUUUCUUCAUUCUUUCGUCUACUCUCUCCACUUCUACUCCAACAUUCUCUGUUCUUAUUCUGCUGCAUCUACAUAGUCUUAAUAUUUAUGGUAUUAAAGCCAGGUUGUCUGCAGCACGGGAAGGGCUACUUAUAGGCUGGAUUACGGUGAGUACUGAAUACUAAUAGACGAUAGCAGAGUGGCUACAGCUAGGUCAAUGUUGAUAGAGUGAGGCCGCUGUGGACAGCAGGCCUCUAGGGCUGGUGUAUUGUUAAGGACUUGGUUAUUAUGGAAAGUCCCAUAUUGAGUAGUAUGGGAUGCUCUAUACUGUAUUUAAAAGGAGUGAUUCUUCCCCCCUUAAGAGCUAGCUGUUAAGGUGUGGUUCCCUACAAGACUAAUAUGUACUCAUAUAGACACAUUAGAAACAAUUAAGAUAAUUCACUGUUCAUACAUGUUCAUAUGAUUAUCUUGUACAUAAUCCUAGAAUAUCUGUUAUAUUAAGAUUAGAUUAGAUAUUGACCCAAAGCUAAAGAUUAGAUAAGAUACUAAAUACCAAGUUCAAGCAAUUCCUUUCAUGCAUUGCAUAAUCAUAUGCAACAAUGGUAAGAGUAUCUUUCUCCCAAGCAAUUCACUCAGAUUUUCAAGUCUGUAUGUAGAGAAUCCAUAAAAGGUCGACUCCACGGGUACCCAUUGUUCAUUGCUGAAACUUUCUUUUGCUAACACACAUCACCACUCCUAUUACCCCAUAUUUAUCUCCAUGUCAUUAUUUGGCAAAGUCUAGUCAUGGAUUUUAGCCAACAUUCGCCAUAGUUCUCUAGGGCCAACAACCGGCAAUUGCUUUCAAGCAUGAUUUUCUACUAAUGGCAUCCCCAUUGCAGUUGCCUACCUUUAGGCAGCCUAUCCUCAACAGAUCCAAUGUGAAACAGCAAUGAAUGCUUCAGCAACCCCACCACUCUGUGAAUGAUGCUACAACCACGUUGCACUUUCUAAUGAUUGAUCAGCACACAACCCCAAAUUGCAUAAGAUCCAUCCCUAUAUAUUAAUUGCCAAUUAUUAUUAAACUUAGUUUAACAAAUUAUUGUUGACACUCAAAUUCGUGAUUAUUUAUGUUUAAACUUUGAAGGAGGAAUCUUAACAGGGGAGAGUGGAGGAUAAGGCCCCAUUCCCCGCCCCGCUCUCACUUAUAAUUUCCGUAGACAGAUGAGCACCUGCGGAUAUCCAUGGGGCAACCAGUAAUUAUAAAAAUUCUUGAAAUUUUAGUACCACAGUAUGACUUAUAGUGAUCUAAGUCAUCUAACAAUUAGUGUAAUACAAGUUUUUUAUAUAGUAAGCAUAAAUAGAAAUCCAAAUCAUACACUAUACAAAUUUAGUAGUUUUAUGUCAAAUUUUUAAUACACAUGAAUACAGGUACCAGGGAGAUAAACAUGACCCAUGCCCAUGGUAUAUCAUCCUUUGUUUAAUCCUGUCCACUAACCCAACACCUUUGACAUCAAGACUAGGAUACUUCACUCCUCUAGUAUUUUCUCAUGUACAUCGUUGUUUCCAAUUCGUGAUUUCCUAGGAUAAACUAAUAUAGAAAUCCAAUCAUCUUCAAAGGUUAAAGCUUUUGUUUGCACUGAUGUUCUUAAUCAAAUAAACACUAAUGGCAUGCUUCAGAAGCACAGACCUCUAAUGGCUUUGUCAUCUAAUAUGCGCAUAAUGGGUGGUUUAAAUUCUAUCACGAGAUCUCUCGGAUCAUACAUUUUGGUAUAUUCAGUGAAUCCAGGUACGGCCUAUGGAUCAAUACCAGUUUCUUCCUCCAAAGUUCAGAAAAAAUGUCUUGUCUAAAGAAGCAAAGAUUCUGUGGUAGAACUUAACUUUUGUAUUGAUUUGGUGUACUUGGUUGGAAAGGAAAGGAACGAUAAGGAUUUUAAUGAUUCCUUUCCUAUUAUUGAUUUUAUCUCAGGAUUACCUUUUUUAUUUCUCUUUGGUGUCAAUCUCAUGUGAAAAGGAAUGACCUGGCAUGGCUAUGCAGUUUAUCCCUUAGGGUAUGUUUGGUAAGUGAGACAGAAAAUGAACAAGGCGAAUAAAGUACAAAAAAAUGUGUUUCAAGUUGGAAGCAGGUAACCAUCGCAAUCUGUCCCAAGACACAAGUUUUCUGUAUUUUCUGUCCUUCCAAAAAGUAGCGAAAAAGGGGACAUCAAUUUUCUAUCUUUCUGUUUUUAACUCUUUCAUAUUUGUAGCCUGUCUCAACUAGCAAACGCUAGCUUAGAGUGUUAAAUGUUAAUCAUGUCCUUUUGCAUGUAAUAUGAGGAUUCCCCAUCCUCUUUUUUAAUACUCUUUUUCUUUGUAAAAAAUCUUCUUUUCAUAUCCAAGAGCAAUCAAUAAAUAAAUAAAUCAUCAAAUUUGUUAAAUAAAAACUAAUGCAAAGUCCCAGGAGAAACCCUACAUUCAUCAAAAGUACCUAACAGUGAAAUCCACAAGUUAACCAUAAACCACUCAAAAACCAAAUGUACAGCCGAUCCUAAACUAGCACUACAUACUUUCGAAAAGAGAGGGAAUUUUUUUUGUAUGUUUUGAUAUCAUUUAAGAAUUAGAAUGUUAUUACAAAAAUGGUUCUAGCUUUUUCUUCUCAGGUUAAUCUACUUUCAGCUUUUAAUUACUUUGUAAGUUCCUACCGUUUCACCAAAUUUGUAAUUAGAACUUGCAUUUUUAAACUUUCAGUUGAUUUAUAUGUAUAUAUAUUAUACAUAGACAUAUUCGUAUAUACAAAUUUAUAUUUAAAAAAGAAAAGACAACUAUUCUUAGAAGAUUCGCUCCUAUCAUGAUAUAGCAUGAAUUGUAGUGUAUGAUAGCAGCAAAUAUUCUAACAUUAUUUCUUCUUUCUUUUUUUAACAACUGGUGGUAAGAAAUUGAAAAAAAUUUUAUCCAUUAAUCUAGUAGUGAAACCUACAAAAUAUUCAACAUGGGAUGAUGAACAAGGAAGAAACUUUGCAAUGGGAAGGGUUAUGUAGAUGAGCUUGCCAAUUUAUGUAGACAAAAAAGGAAAGGCACAUAAAUGGUACAUAAUAAACUUCAGAUUACAAACUUCCAAACUUGCAAGUUUGUUGGGUUGCAAUUAAUGCCAUGACUACACCAGUGCCAAAAGGGUUUUGGGCUUUUGGCCACAUAUGGUCAAGUCUUUUCAAUGCAAUAAUCUUCCAAUCAAAUUAAGGUUAAACCAUAGAGAUUGAGCAACAAGUGAAAUGUGAAUAUUUCUCACUUGUGUCUUCCUAGAUAAAAGUAAACAUCCUAACAAUACAAUCAAAACUAAUAGCAUCAUUUGACCCAUUUAAUCAACAAGCACAUUUCCCAAAAUGAAUUUUACCUAGAACUGUGACAUGUUAUUCCAUUGUCACCUUAUUAAAAAAAA
Arachis ipaensis is the source of this 3383-nucleotide non-coding RNA. NCBI's taxonomy places the organism in Eukaryota, Viridiplantae, Streptophyta, Magnoliopsida, Fabales, Fabaceae. The record is from RefSeq and is a predicted model, not a curated record.